This 244-nucleotide ribosomal RNA is filed under the name uncultured bacterium. RNAcentral's name for it is "partial 16S ribosomal RNA". It matches the Rfam family "Bacterial small subunit ribosomal RNA", at positions 8 to 250 of the family's 1533-position model. The record is from RNAcentral.
AGAGUUUGAUCCUGGCUCAGAUUGAACGCUGGCGGCAUGCUUUACACAUGCAAGUCGAACGGCAGCAUAGAGAGCUUGCUCUCUGAUGGCGAGUGGCGAACGGGUGAGUAAUACAUCGGAACGUGUCCGUUUGUGGGGGACAACCACCCGAAAGGGUGGCUAAUACCGCAUAAGACCUGAGGGUGAAAGCCGGGGACCGCAAGGCCUGGCGCGAACGGAGCGGCCGAUGACUGAUUAGCUGGUU